AUUGAACGCUGGCGGCAGGCCUAACACAUGCAAGUCGAGCGAGCGGCGGACGGGUGAGUAAUGUCUGGGAAACUGCCUGAUGGAGGGGGAUAACUACUGGAAACGGUAGCUAAUACCGCAUACCAUCAGAUGUGCCCAGAUGGGAUUAGCUAGUUGGUGGGGUAACGGCUCACCUAGGCGACGAUACCUAGCUGGUCUGCGAGGUUGACCAGCCACACUGGAACUGAGACACGGACCAGACUCCUACGGGAGGCAGCAGUGGGGAAUAUUGCGCAAUGGACGGAAGCCUGAUGCAGCCAUGCCGCGUGUGUGAAGAAGGCCUUCGGGUUGGAAAGCACUUUCAGCGGGGAGGCGUUACCCGCAGAGGAAGCACCGGCUAACUCCGUGCCAGCAGCCGCGGUAAUUC
This 406-nucleotide ribosomal RNA is filed under the name uncultured bacterium. RNAcentral describes it as "partial 16S ribosomal RNA". It matches the Rfam family "Bacterial small subunit ribosomal RNA", at positions 30 to 526 of the family's 1533-position model. The record is from RNAcentral.